UACGUAGGGACCGAGCGUUGUCCGGAAUCAUUGGGCGUAAAGAGCGUGUAGGCGGCCACUUAAGUCCUGCGUGAAAUCUUGCGGCUCAACCGCAAGCGGUCGUGGGAAACUGGGUGGCUAGAGUGCGGGAGAGGAGAGUGGAAUUCCUGGUGUAGCGGUGAAAUGCGCAGAUAUCAGGAAGAACACCCGUGGCGAAGGCGGCUCUCUGGAACGCAACUGACGCUGAGACGCGAAAGCGUGGGGAGCAAACAGG
Molecule: ribosomal RNA, 253 nt
Filed under: uncultured bacterium
Lineage: Bacteria
Description: partial 16S ribosomal RNA
Rfam family: Bacterial small subunit ribosomal RNA
Source: RNAcentral